UGGGGUAAAGAAGGUGUUGGGGUUAAAAAUGAAUUUAGAGAGAGAGAGAGAGAGAGAGAGAGAGAGAGAGAGAGAUAAGAAGGUGUUGGGGUUAAAAAUGAAUUUAGAGAGAGAGAGAGAGAGAGAGAGAGAGAGAGAGAUAAGAGGAUAGGGUGAGGUGGUGGGGCGGUAGGAAGCGAACAUGAUCACAAGAAUUUAAGCGUCGUGGUAGGGGGUUGUG
Molecule: long non-coding RNA, 220 nt
Filed under: Ananas comosus (pineapple)
Lineage: Eukaryota; Viridiplantae; Streptophyta; Magnoliopsida; Poales; Bromeliaceae
Description: long non-coding RNA (ACOM_LNC034236)
Source: RNAcentral